RNAcentral lists this ribosomal RNA (558 nucleotides) under Lactobacillus delbrueckii subsp. bulgaricus. RNAcentral describes it as "partial 23S ribosomal RNA". It matches the Rfam family "Bacterial large subunit ribosomal RNA", at positions 396 to 955 of the family's 2925-position model. The record is from RNAcentral. Lineage: Bacteria; Bacillati; Bacillota; Bacilli; Lactobacillales; Lactobacillaceae.
CCUAUCAGUAUCCUGAGUAGGGCGGGACACGUGAAAUCCCGUUUGAAUCCGCGAGGACCAUCUCGCAAGGCUAAAUACUAACCAGUGACCGAUAGUGAACCAGUACCGUGAGGGAAAGGUGAAAAGAACCCCGGGAGGGGAGUGAAAGAGAACCUGAAACCGUGUGCCUACAAGUAGUCAGAGCCCGUUAACGGGUAAUGGCGUGCCUUUUGUAGAAUGAACCGGCGAGUUGCGUUAGUCAGCAAGGUUAAGUCAGAAAAGACGGAGCCGUAGCGAAAGCGAGUCUGAAGAGGGCGAGCAGUUGGCUGACGCAGACCCGAAACCAAGUGACCUACCCAUGACCAGGUUGAAGGCGCGGUAAAACGCGCUGGAGGACCGAACCCACGUAAGUUGAAAAUUGCGGGGAUGAGUUGUGGGUAGCGGUGAAAUUCCAAACGAACUUGGAGAUAGCUGGUUCUCUCCGAAAUAGCUUUAGGGCUAGCCUCGCAAAGAGGAUGCUGGAGGUAGAGCUCUGUUUGGACUAGGGGCCCGUCAAGGGUUACUGAAUUCAGAUAAACU